Molecule: ribosomal RNA, 253 nt
Filed under: uncultured prokaryote
Description: partial 16S ribosomal RNA
Rfam family: Bacterial small subunit ribosomal RNA
Source: RNAcentral
UACGUAGGGUGCGAGCGUUAAUCGGAAUUACUGGGCGUAAAGUGUGCGCAGGCGGCCGCGCAAGUCGAGUGUGAAAGCCCCGAGCUUAACUUGGGAACUGCGCUCGAAACUACGUGGCUGGAGUGUGGCAGAGGAAGGUGGAAUUCCAGGUGUAGCGGUGAAAUGCGUAGAUAUUGGGAGGAACACCGGUGGCGAAGGCGGCCCCCUGGACCGGUACUGACGCUGAGGCGCGAAAGCGUGGGUAGCAAACGGG